AAAAAAAAGCCAAAAAAUGCCCCCACCAAUCACCGGGUGUGUUCUGGCUUCUGUACAUCAGGCAUCUUCCAUAAUUUCCACCGCAGCACUUGCACAAAUUUAUUAAAAUAUAGGUACGGGCACAAAUAUCAAAAUAUGGGGAGUUUCUGAAUAUCACAUGUAAAUGUAAACCCAUAGAACUCCAGGGAAUUAUUUGUACAAAAUGCUGCGUUUAUUUAGUAAUGGCGAAAUCGGCCACUGCAUCACAUGGGUGAAGGUGGCGUUGUAUUGCAUCAGUGUCACCCCUCAAGAGUUCGACUGCAGCGCUGCUUGUACGGAUGAAUUAUAUCAUUUCUAGCCCGAGUUUUGUAAGAUUGCGUCUGAUGGAUUACUAGAACUCGUCCAAUUGCAGAAAGGGAGGGUACAUCAGAUUUCAGAAUGUUGGAAGGUGUUUUGCACUUGUUUGCUUUUCUUUUUUAGUUUAAAAUUCUAUGACUCAUUGGUCAAAAGCGUUUAAUUGUAUUUGUAUGCCUGUGACAUAACUCUCAAUAUAGAGCUUCAGUCCAGUCAAUGUUUAAGCAUUAAAACACAGUUCACUAAUCAAUCUAGACUCAUUGGUCAAAAUGUCAUGAUUUCAAGUGCUUAAUUGGAUGCCUAUGACAUACCUCUUGAUAUAGAACUUAUGUAGAGCCUCAAAUCAAGUCAAAGUUUAAGCAUUAAACAACACACAGAUUGUUUUCAUUUUCGGGCUGCAGCCACAGCUAAACAACUUCGAUCUAAGAUGAUGCGAACCAGGGAGCAAAGGUCUCCUAAUAAUCAAUCCCUGUACUCUUGAGUGAAGUCUUGGAGCUUUAUAUCAUUCUACAAGGCCAUCUGAUCUUGUUUUAAUUUUGUAGACCCAUUUACAACAAACAAUAGAUUUCCCAUGUGGGAGUCAACCAAAUCCAAGUGUGAGUCUUACUUAAGUCUUGCAAUUCUUCUGUCAUUGCUUGCUGCCAAAUAGGAUUAGUACUGACUUCACGAUAUGUUUUGAGAUUCAUGAAAGGAUACUGUAGCAGAAAAACAGUGAUAAUCACAAACAUGAGAAGACAGUUGACUUGCUCGAGUAGAUUGACAUGGAAGUUGAAACUCAAUAGAGGAGUUAGAAUCUGCAUCCGAAUGAGAUACUUCUUGGGCAGUCACGGUAUGAUCUUCGGUAGAACAUGUAUCACAGCCGGAGAGAAAGGGGUCUAUAGGAGUAGGAUUUGGCAAUUCUUCACUACAUGAUGGUGGGAGUAAGUCUGUAAAUGGAUCAAGAAAGAAAGUUACAAUUGACAAGACACACAAUCAACUUUAAUGUCUGGGAUGGAUCUUAACAUACCUCUAGAAAUUAAUGGACAAAAUUUAGAUAACGGCACAUGUCCAAAACGAGAAUGUUAAGUUUCAGAUGACACUGAAAUAGCAAAAUGACUCAAUAUCGAUAAGAAAGACGUAAAGAAGCAAGUUUGAACAGAUGACCAACUUUAUAGUCGGUCCCAUGUAUCUGCCCUGUCUGCGAUUCCUGCACAUGACGAGAAAAGUGUAAGCUUGGGAUCCAGAAAUGUCUGAGGUAGAGAUAGGUUAGCGGUCGAGAUCUCUCUUAUAUGACUAACAUGAAUUUUAGAGUUAUUCGUAGUAUGAAUAGUAGGUGUGUGAGAGAUAAGUGUGUGCGGUUGGAACUUAGAAGAAUCAAAUGUGGUUACAACAAGUCAACAACCAUAAUCAAAGAACCAAGAUUUAGAUUUACCUGGAAUGACAGAGAGGGUAGGAUAGGAAGUACCGGACUUAUCUAGGGUUUUCUUGAUAGUGUUAAGGUAAACUUUGUUGAAAAGAGCUUUAAGCAUACGGAGCUCAGUACUAGUUUAUGAUGAAUCCUACUGACAUCAGUAAUGACAACUGCAGUCCUUAAACGAUUGGUUCUUAGGAUUUGAAAUUCUAACUAGCCAUGUGCCUUAACCUCUUUCGACAUUCAUCAAUAUGGUUACGUGGUAUAUAAUAGUGACAAGUGCCCUUGUGCUUUGUAGAUGUAGUAGCAUAACAGUGUUAGUAGAAUCUGAAUUCUGAAUUUCUGAUGAGAUCUCAUUGUGCUAAGGUAAGAGUUUUAAUUCAGCAACCAUGCGUCUCAAGUUUAGGAAAUGGAUCUCAAUGAGCAAAGAGGCUCGAACAGAGCUAGGGUCAUGAGAAAGUGAAUAACUCUCAACUUAUCUUUGUCGGUGGUAAAUUUAGUCGUGUCAGAUGUUUGAUCCCACAUUGGUUCAGAGUAUGCUAGCUGGUUCCAAAUAACAUGCAUCCGAGAGAGGAAAUCAUUUAUAGGUGUCCUGGUUCUUGCUUCAAGCUAUGUAGAUAGCCAUAGAGUUAAUACUGAUGUGAAAUAGAGUAUUGUUGAGCUUGUAAAUCCACACUUCUUUAGCAGUAUCAAAUCGUCCAACUGAAGUUUGAUAAAAGAAAUAUUAGUAUUUCAGAACCAAGUGAGAAUUUGAUGGUUCUUGAUAUCCCAUUCAUCCGGUCGAUCAUAAAACUGGUCCUCCAUUUCAUUCUUACACUUAAGCGGUGAAGUAAUUGUUUCAGUAAUAUAUCACCUUAAUUUGCGCCCUUUAAGAAAGCUAAACAUCUCUUGAGACCAUAUAAUGUAGUUGGUCCCAUCCAAAAAGUGUCAAUGGAGAGAGAGAGAGAGAUCUUAUUUAUCCAUGCAGGUGAAGAAAAUAGACGAUGAAAUGCAAAAACAUGUAAGAUCAGGUGCUACACGUUACAAAACUGUACUAUGCAAUCAGAACUAGGGAAAUCAAGGUUGGAAACAGAUUCAGAACCUUUGAAUACCUUAGGAACCGCUAUGAACUGUCAAAGAAUUGGAUUGUACGAAGUCAAACAGGUCGGUUAGAGUUUGCACACGUGGUGCUAACAUGGCAGACAGAAUAUAAACAGGUGCGUGAGGCAGUGAUAUUAGGUGCAGUUCAGACGAGAGGCGCAUGAGGGCACUUUAAGCUUCGUGUCGGAGGAUUUUGGUGGCAUUAGACUCGUGCUUUGACGUAGAGUUGAUAUAUGGCAGGAACUCAAAAAAUAGACAACAAAAGUAUAGUGGGGGAUUUAUGGUUCAGACAAGUAUUGGUGAUGUAACUAGGAGCCAAUAGUAACCAUAAAAUUUUUCCCUGCAACAACUGUGGCUCUUUUACCAUGUUUUAGGACAAAGAAAAAGAGAUAAAACUAUACCAGUGUUGAGUAUUCACUACAAUGAAAAGUGUCCUAUAUAUAGGAGAAUUACAACUAUGUAUGUGUAAAGUUACAGCUGAGGAACGAUGCUACCAUAUUUACAUAAUUCUUAACAGUUUUAACAAUGGAAGAGUGUAUUUGAUUUAUUUUAACAUGUAUGUGUGAACGCUUACGGUGUUAAUUGUGUGUUUUGAGUUUAUGGUUGUUUUAGGUGGGAGGGGGGUGGGGUGGUUCCUGGGAAGAAGUUUACGUUGUUAAUCACACUCUGAGAAAUGCAGCAAUAAAUUUAAAGUCAAAUAUUAUUUAACUGUGAAGAAAUCUUGUGCUAGAGCCCUUCAACCUCAACUAAUAUUAGAUUCAAAAAGUUAUGCACGCACGCACAACUCAUUAGGUUACAAUGCUCUAAAUGUGGCAGACCCUUCAUUCAUUAUCUCAGUGAUUUUUUCUUCCCUAACCAAAUGAGAGAAUUCAGCUUCUGAAGUUGAAUAUAAACUUUCUUCCUUGAUGUAAAAUAAUAAUUUCCUCUCAGCUCCAGCUGAAGCCAUUUAAAUCGAAUUGCUUGCAACUUGAAGCAGGAUCAUUUUUGUCAUCCAUGUUUAGAUCCAGUUCUGUUGUAAAGUAAGGUAGUUUUGUCUUCUGCUUCUCUGGUCUAUGAGCAUCUCGGCCUAAAUAUUUAGCAUCUGCAUCAGCUUCUCUAUGUCUUUCCCCUGAACAGCUACUACUGCCAUUCCAUAGUCCUCUCUGAGGUCCAAUGGCCAUCGACAAAUUUCUGGAGUUCUCUUCUGUAGCAAAUGCUUUUUCUACAUUGUCAUUUGUUGCACAAAGAAAUCUGCUGCUCACUUUCAGGUCUUCGCACAGUUUGAGUUCAGUCUUCUGCACCCUGAGUUCAUUGUCAAUAAUCCUCGACUCUAUAGGUUCUCGAAAAUUCAAAGUUUUCAAUCCUAUUUGGUUAUUGUACAAUUCUUGGUCCCUGAGAGAACCUUCACAGGAGGUUAAGCAGCUGUCUGUUGAACAAUCCGUUGGCUGAGUUGUUUUUAUUUGCUGUAGGGACAAAUCCGACACUUCUUUCAUCCCUGAAAAUUCAGAAUUCAGGCAUUGGGUAGAUACUUUAGACACCAAAUCUGAUAUCUGAACCUUGGCUGCCUCCAAAUCAAUUGUCCCCAAGUUCUGUGUUCCUAGGGUUUCCUCUGCUUUCUCCAAUACGGACUGUAGAUAUUUACCUUGGGCCUCAAUCCGUAGCUGUAAAUGGCGCUGUACCUACACAUACAGAGUAAACUCUGUUUUCAGUGCAACAUAAAAUUCAACAUUUAAUUGUUUGAAAUAUGAAUUUUGGACUACUAUUGUUUAUUAGGAAAGUUUCACUUCAAUAAGAGAUUAAAAUUGUCAUCGCGAUCCUACAUGUGUGAAAUAUUUGCCUAGAAUUUGGUUAAAUGCAUGUUUUCAUGGUAUAUCUUCCAAAGAUCUGAUGACAACUUUUCUGGUUUCAGAUUUCAGAGGGUUUUGAAGAGGCCACACUUUAUUUUGAUUCAUUAGUAAAAAUAUGUAUUCUCUUAUGUUGGAAUCAAAGAAAUUGCAAUUGCUUUACGAAUGGAACUUUUUUUACCUCAAGCUGCUCAUGUAGCCUUCUUUGCACUUCAAUUUGCAUUUGUAAUGCUUCGCUCAAGGGUAAAUUUCUGAAUUUAAAAUAUUACAGUAUAGCAGUGUUAAUUGAUUAUAUUAUCAAAUCAAUAGCGUGAAUCGACAUAGUAAGAACAUGUAACAUAUUUUUGCAUUCUUACUUAUUUGUCUGGGCUACCAUGCUUGGAUUACUCAUGUGGGUUCUAUAUGUCCCGGACAUUCUUUCUCCCGUGACUGUAACCAUUAUCAAACUUAACAUACUUAUUUACUGAAGAACAGGUGUAGUCUGCAAAACUAUUUUCCUGGAAAUUAUUGGAUUUCUUACCUGCUUUAUUGCUCCCACUGUUAGCUUGUCCAUGGAGGUUCUUGCUGAGCCUGUAUUUCUGCCAUGCAAAUAAAAAGGUUUAGACUACUCUCUGUAUUUUUACCCAUGACGCACAUAUACAUAUGCAACCCACAUAUGCACAAUGCAACACUCUUGGUUUCCUAAAAUGAAAUGACAAUAAAUUAAGGCUUAUUCCAAUAAAUUUGAGGUGGCCACAUAAAUCCUUUAUCUGAAGUUCAUUUGAUUCAUUGCUAUACUCUAAUGCUCGGACUCUUCGAAAUAGUCAGAGUAUCCGUGUCAAACACGGGUAUGGGUAUAAAAUAUGUGUCAGAUACUUCAAAUUUCACACUUUGCCGUUUUUGCUUCUUCUCUCUUCUUUUUUUUCAUUUUCCUUUUCUUUCCCCUUUUUGCUCUCUAUAAACCUAAUGCUACCUCCGAGAGGAUGGAGAAAGCGACGGCACUAGGUUUUCUCUCCUUCUUCUUUCUUUUCUCUUUCCUUUUUCUUAUUUUUUCCCCUUCCUCCCCUUUCUAUAUUGGUGGAUUAGUGUUUUGUUUGUAUAAAAUGAAAAUGGAUUCCAUAUAAUGCUACUUAUUGUUUCAUUAAGUCUAAAUUGCAAUUAAGUCUCUCAUUUUUCUAUUUUAUAUAACAUUUAGUAAUUAACUUCUCAUAAUUGAAAACUAAAUCCAAAAUUCUAUUUUAUUCAUCUUGACCCCUUUUGAGUACUCAUUUCCUUCUUUGUGAAUAAUUAUUUUUGAUCUAUUCAAAAUAACAUCUUAAGUUAGUAAAAAAAUUAAAAAUUGAAAGAUGUACGCACGUACUCGUGUCCGAAAUUUGGACACUUUUUAGCCAUGUCCCCGCAUCCUACAUUUUAAAAAAUAAAAGAUCCAACACUUAGAUACGUACUCGUACCCGAUACCCAUACCCGAGUCCGAGCAUCAUAGUUGCUAUGUGUGGAGCAACUAGAUUUGGAGCAACUCCAACAUGUAAUGUUAGUUUUGGUCCACUCCUAACUUUUUUCAACGGAGAUCAAGUCACUCUUAUUAACGAAGUCAAUAUAUGUCCUAAUCAUCUAAUCGUCCUUCCCUUGUUUUAUCCUAAACGGAUGCUACCUUUACUUAUAGGCGCAUAUUUUCAUUUUUUAAUCUUAUCCAGUCUAGUAUUGCCUCACAUUAUCUUAGCAUUUUCAUUUCUGCUGCACUCAUCUCAUGGACAUCUUGUUUGUUAGCACUCGAUACGUAGUACUAAACCAGAUGUGAUAGUUUCACAUGGGUUGUUAAUCUACAACCACCUUUUUCCUUUAUGUAGGCUUGGGACCUUCAUGAAAACACUUGAAAAUGCUAAUAUAAUAUGAUCUAGAAAAUUCUAUGUAAGCUAUGAAUAAAAGUUUUCCAUAGUUUAUUACUGCAUUUUUUAGAUGAUAUUGUUUCAGCAUUAUUAAUGGUUUUCCUGAGUCAAAAGUAGGGAUAAUGAUGUUUUCAAAGAACUUGACUGCUUCUUUGAAAUGGUUAUAUAAAAACCUUAAGUUGCCCUAGAGUUGCUUAAGCUUAAAUAUGGUCAAACUGAAAGGCCUAUUUUCUCUUGUGCAGAACUCUAGUAUAGCUUUUUGGC
RNAcentral lists this long non-coding RNA (6755 nucleotides) under Olea europaea (common olive). RNAcentral's name for it is "long non-coding RNA (OEUR_LNC006644)". The record is from RNAcentral. Lineage: Eukaryota; Viridiplantae; Streptophyta; Magnoliopsida; Lamiales; Oleaceae.